Molecule: ribosomal RNA, 520 nt
Filed under: uncultured Glomeromycotina
Lineage: Eukaryota; Fungi; Glomeromycota
Description: SSU rRNA
Rfam family: Eukaryotic small subunit ribosomal RNA
Source: RNAcentral
AGCAGCCGCGGUAAUUCCAGCUCCAAUAGCGUAUAUUAAAGUUGUUGCAGUUAAAAAGCUCGUAGUUGAAUUUCGGGAUUAGUAAGUUGGUCGUGCCUCCGGUAUGUACUGGCUCUACUGGUUCCUCCUUCUUGAAGAACUGUAAUGUCAUUAAUUUGGUGUUGCAGGGAAACAGGACUGUUACUUUGAAAAAAUUAGAGUGUUUAAAGCAGGCCAACGCUUGAAUACAUUAGCAUGGAAUAAUGAAAUAGGACGUUUGAUCCUAUUUUGUUGGUUUCUAGGAUUGACGUAAUGAUUAAUAGGGAUAGUUGGGGGCAUUAGUAUUCAAUUGUCAGAGGUGAAAUUCUUGGAUUUAUUGAAGACUAACUACUGCGAAAGCAUUUGCCAAGGAUGUUUUCAUUAAUCAAGAACGAAGUUAGGGGAUCGAAGACGAUCAGAUACCGUCGUAGUCUUAACCAUAAACUAUGCCGACUAGGGAUCGGAUGAUGUUAAUUUUUUAAUGACUCAUUCGGCGCCUUAC